Molecule: non-coding RNA, 119 nt
Organism: Gossypium hirsutum (cotton)
Lineage: Eukaryota; Viridiplantae; Streptophyta; Magnoliopsida; Malvales; Malvaceae
Source: Rfam
GGGUCCGAUCAUACUAGCAUUAAUGCACCGGAUCCCAUCAGAACUUCGCAGCUAAGCGUGAUUGGGCGAGAGUAGUACUAGGAUGGGUGACCUCCUGGGAAGUCCUCGUGUUGCACCCC